RNAcentral lists this transfer RNA (4064 nucleotides) under Sepiadarium kochi. RNAcentral's name for it is "tRNA-Glu". Lineage: Eukaryota; Metazoa; Mollusca; Cephalopoda; Sepiida; Sepiadariidae. The record is from RNAcentral.
CAAAACUUUAAGAAAAUUAAUACCUUAAUUAUAUUUUGUUAUCAAUGUAUUACUUAAAUAUAAUAAAAAUUUUAGUUCUUUUUGGUCCUUUCGUACUAAAAAAGACAAUUAACAAUUUUAAAAGAUAGAAACCAACCUGGCUCACGCCGGUCUGAACUCAGAUCAUGUAAAAUUUUAAAAAUCGAACAGAUUUACCUAUUAAAGCUUCUACACCUUAAGGUUAUUUUAAUCCAACAUCGAGGUCGCAAACUCACUUUUUAAUAAGAACUCUCUAAGCAAAUUACGCUGUUAUCCCUGUGGUAACUAUUAUAAAAGCAAUAUAAUAAUUAUUGGUUACUUUUUAUAAAUAAAUACAUGUUCUAAGGAAGUUAUUAAAUAAUAAUUUUAUUCCUUAAUCACCCCAAUUAAAAUUUAUUUUUACUAAUUUUUCUUUAUAAUAAUUAUAAAAUUUAAGCUCAACAGGGUCUUCUCGUCCCUUUAAACAAUCUAAGCUUUUUCACUUUAAAAAUUAAUUUCUAAUAAAUAAUAUAGAGACAGAUAAACCUUCGUCAAACCAUUCAUUCUAGCCUCAAUUUAUAAGGCAAACUAUUAUGCUACCUUAGUACAGUUAAAAUACCGCAGCUGUUAAAUUUAAUCACCGAGCAGGCCCGACUCUUUAUCUAUAAUUAUUACAAAGAGACAUGUUUUUGGUAAACAGGCGAGAUUUUUAUUUGCCAAAUUCCUUUAUAUUAUUUAAUUAAUUUACCUUAUUUUAAUAUAUUUUCAAUUAAAUAAUUAUAAAUAUCAUUAUUAUAAUUUUAAUACUCAUAUUAACAUUAUAGUUAUUUAAAACCAAUUUAUAAAUAUUUAUAGCUUAUUAAUAAUCCAACCUGAAUAAUGUGUAUAUGAUAUUUAUUAUUAUUUUUAAAGAAAAACACUAUUAAUUUUACUUAAAUAAAUAACUCAAUAUAUAUCAUCUAAUAUUCUAAUUAAAUAUAUGAAGCUUACCCUCAUAUACUGCACUAAUAUUAAAUUAAUCAAAUAUUAAAUCAAUAUUAUAAUACUUAAAUAUUAUAAACUAAUAAACUAGCUAUCAUAAAAAUCGAUUAAUAUAUCAUUACCACCUAAUAUUAAUUAUAUAACUAUACAACGUUAACAUAUUAUCUACUAAGUAAAUCCUUUUAUUUCGAGAUUAUAUUAUAUAUUUAAUUUAUAUCAUCAAUUCAUUAUACAAAAGGUACGAAUUAUAAAUUCUACUAUAAAUCAAUAUAUUUAUUUUCCUUUACAAUACUUACUAUUAUAAUAAUGAUUCUUUACCUUUUAUACUACACAAUCAAAUAAUUUAAAUUAUAUAACUUUUAAUAUAAUUAAUAUAUAUACAUAUUUAACUUUAUACCAGGAACAGUUUCCACUACCCCUACUAUGUUACGACUUAUCUUAUCUUCCAGUAAGAGCGACGGGCGAUAUGUACGCAUUACAAAACCAUAAUUCAUAAUAACACACUAUUUAUUUUAUUACUAUCAAGUCCAACUUCAAAAAUUAUAUUACAUAAUUCAAUUCGUAUUUAAAAAUUAUAAAUUGUAGCUCACUUAAUAAACCUUUUUUAUAAGCUGCAUUUUGACUUAUCAUUACAAUUAUUUAUUAUCAUGUUUUUAAAAUUUCACAAAAUAAACUGACGACAGCAAUAUACAAACUGUAUAAUAUUCAAAAAAAAGUAAGUAUAAAUUGAGGAUUAUCAAAUUAAUAAACAAGCUCCCCUGAAAGGAUAUGUAACACCGCCAAGUCUUUUAAAUUUCAAAUAUAUGUAUACUAUUUUAUAAACAACUAAAAAUAUAUUUGUACUUCUUCAGUUAGAAUAAAUUUUAAAAUAAAGAAUAAUAGGGUCUCUAAUCCUAGUUUUUUUUCUUAUUUUCAAAGAAUAUAUUCAAUAGAGAAAUAAAAAUAAUAUUAAUAAUUAAAUUUUACUUACAAUUAUUAAUCUCACCUACUCUAUUUAUAUUUUAUAUAAUUACUUUAUUUUAUACUGUAUUAAUAUAAAUUUUAAGUAUUGGUAUAACCGCAGCGGCUGGCACCAAUUUAACCACUUUACAUAAAUUACAUUAACUAUAUCAAAUUUCCAUUCAUUGUAUAAAUAUAAAUACUGCGUAACUUUUAUAAAAAUUAUAUUAAUAAAAUAUUAACAUAACAAUAAUUUUUAUUUAAUAAAUAUUAAACUAAAUCAAAUAAAAAUUAAUAUUCAAGUAAAACAAUAUAAUUUUAAACUUAACAUGUAUUAAUUUAAUAAUAAUUUAUAUCAUAACCAAAACCAAGCCAAUAAUAUAUGAAAUGAUAUAUCAUAUACGAUUUCGGCUCGUACAUAGGUAUAAACAAUUUAUACCCUUAUAUUUUAAAUAAUAAAUAAAAUAAUUAAAAAUAUAAUUAUAUAGCAAUUAAAAGAUAAUAUUAGCCAAUGUUCUAAUAAAAAAAAUAAAAUUUUAUUAACAUUAAAUAAUCCUUGAGCACCUAUAAUUUCAAAUCAACCCAUGUCAAUAAUUUUAAGUCUAGUAUUAGUUAUAUUUUUAAAUCCUAUUAAUAAAGGAUUACAUAAAAAACUAGAUAAAAAUCAUAUUCUACUAUUGAUAUAUUUAAGCCCCCCUACAUUAAAUUUUACAUACCCUAUUCUUCAUAUCCUAAAAGAAAUUAAUAAAGAAAAAAUAAUUAAAAAAGGAAUAGAUAAUUUUAUUAUACUAGGCAGAUAAAUAUCUAUGUCAAAUAAUAUAAAUAAUUUAUUAAAUAAUAUACCACUUCAUACAGCCCCACAAACUAACAAUGAUAUAGGAAUAAUUAUUUUUAUAUCAUUAUCUUUUAUAUUAUAAAAACUCUCAGAAUUCUCGUUACCUCAAAUAAUAUACAUAGAAAAGCGUAUACUAUAUAAUACAGUUAAACAUACCCCAAAAGCACCUAUAAAUAAUAUAAAAAUGUUUAUACUCCCAGUUAUUAAUCUUUCAAUAAUUAAAUCUUUUGAAUAAAAACCAGCCAAAAAAGGAAAACCACAUAAAGCUAUAUUUGAUAUAUUUAAGAAUAUACAAGUAACAGGCAAUAUUUUAGAUACAUUAUUAAUCUGACGUAUAUCUUGUUUCCCUCUAUAACAAUGAAUAAUAUUACCACCACAUAUAAAUAAUAAAGCUUUAAAUAAAGCAUGCGUGUAUAAAUGAAAUAGAGCUAAUAUAGGUAUAUUUAAACUUAAAGACAUUAUUAUUACACCUAAUUGACUUAAUGUUGAUAAAGCAAUAAUUUUUUUUAUAUCAUACUCAUAUAAAGCACAUACACCUGAUAUAAUAGUUGUUAUAAUAGAAAUAUAUAACAUGAAAAUAUUAAAUCAAUAAUAACAAUUUAAAUAAUUAAAAAAACGAAUAAAUAAAAAAAUACCAGCAGUAACUAAAGUAGAAGAAUGAACUAACGCAGAAACAGGGGUCGGGGCAGCUAUUGCAGCUGGAAGCCAUCUCCUAAAAGGCAUUUGAGCACUUUUUGUUAUACCCGCAAUUAUAAUAAAAAAAUUAAUAAUUUCAAAUACUAUAAAAUCUCAUAUACAUAAUAUAUUUCAAUGACCUAAAACAAUUAAAAUAGAAAUAGCUCCUAAAAUAAAACAAUCUCCAACCCGAUUUAUUAAUACAGUUAAUAUACCUGCUGAUAAAGAUUUAUUAUUUUGGUAAUAAAUCACUAAACAAAAUGAUACUAAUCCCAACCCAUCUCAUCCUAAUAAUAAAGAAAUUAACCUAGGGAUAAAAAUUAAAAAAUUUAUAGAUAUAACAAAUAAUAUUACUACUAAAACAAAUCGAUUUAAGUUUGGGUCUCCUUCUAUAUAUGUUAUAGUAAAAAUUAUUACACAUCCAGAAAUAAAACAAACAAGACCCCUAAAUCUACAUCUCAUUCAAUCAAUAAUAAAAUCAAACUCAAUAACCCUUCUUACACAUAUAAUUAUCUCUCAUCUAAAUAACAACCCUAAAUUAUUUAAACAUAAAUAAAUAGUUAUUAACCUUAUAAAAAUAAAUCACCUAAAUAAAAUUAUACUAAAAAAACACUCUACACCUAUUAAUGUUAACAUA